UUUUUUAAAUUGCUGAAUUUUGGGGCAGAGGUUCUUCGUUACGAACGCAAAGAAAGAUCAUUUUUUGAUUGGUCAACAUGAAAAGUUAUUGAGGAUGAGCACGAUGAGGUUCUCCCAAAUCCGAAGAAUAAAAAUUUCACCUCGGUAGUGCUUAAAUUGGUAUAUUGUGAGGUUUUAGUGUUUUUGACAUUCUGGGAGGUAGGAAUCUCCGGUUUAGGCAAUUCUCGAUGUGUUGUUCUUGUAUAAUCAUUGGCCAUGUUAUUUUACCGUUACUUCUCCCAUUCUUCAAGAAUAUACAUUUUGUGUUUCUUGAUUUCGGACAAAAAUUGUGAUUCAAAAUCUUUUUUGCAUUAUUGUUGGAACUUAGGGCAUGGGAAAGUGUGGGAAAUCAUCCUUGAAGCUAAGUGCGACAUCGUUUUUGGGAUCAUGGAGUAAAGACAAGCGAUUUGUGGAUGGUUCAAGAAUGCAGUUCGUCAUCGAGGCAUCAUGCAGUGUAGCUAUGGUUUGGAGAUUUGGGUGAGCUCCUCGCGUUAUAAGUAUUCAUGCUCUCUUUCACAUUGAUUAGAUUUAUCUCUAUUUUGUAUUUUGGAGAUGGUUUCUACAUAUAUAUGUAUUCUAUAUUUCCCUUUGUACCGAGAUUGUAUUAAAAGCUCUUGUACUAAUUUCUCCUGGUCUUGGGGCUUCAUUCUAUAUUAGUCUUUUAAUUAAGUUCAUUUAUGAUAUUUUCUCUA
This is a long non-coding RNA of Capsicum annuum, 731 nucleotides long. RefSeq lists it as uncharacterized. Lineage: Eukaryota; Viridiplantae; Streptophyta; Magnoliopsida; Solanales; Solanaceae. The transcript is spliced from 3 exons. The record is from RefSeq and is a predicted model, not a curated record.